UACAGAGGUCCCGAGCGUUGUUCGGAUUCACUGGGCGUAAAGGGUGCGCAGGUGGCUUGGCAAGUUUGAUGUGAAAGCUCAGGGCUUAACCCUGAAAUGGCAUUGAAUACUGUUGAGCUGGAGGUUUGGAGGGGGGACUGGAAUUCUUGGUGUAGCAGUGAAAUGCGUAGAUAUCAAGAGGAACACCAGUGGCGAAGGCGAGUCCCUGGACAACACCUGACACUGAGGCACGAAAGCGUGGGGAGCAAACAGG
RNAcentral lists this ribosomal RNA (253 nucleotides) under uncultured bacterium. Its description in RNAcentral is "partial 16S ribosomal RNA". It matches the Rfam family "Bacterial small subunit ribosomal RNA", at positions 524 to 776 of the family's 1533-position model. The record is from RNAcentral.